This 526-nucleotide ribosomal RNA is filed under the name Sungouiella pseudointermedia. Its description in RNAcentral is "eukaryotic LSU rRNA". It matches the Rfam family "Eukaryotic large subunit ribosomal RNA", at positions 62 to 656 of the family's 3401-position model. Lineage: Eukaryota; Fungi; Ascomycota; Pichiomycetes; Serinales; Metschnikowiaceae. The record is from RNAcentral.
AAACCAACAGGGAUUGCCUCAGUAACGGCGAGUGAAGCGGCAAAAGCUCAAAUUUGAAAUCCUUCGGGAGUUGUAAUUUGUAGGUUGGGAGACCCCGCGGCUAGUGGCACCAAGUCCCUUGGAACAGGGCGCCUUAGAGGGUGAGAGCCCCGUAGGUACCACAACACCGUCUUGUGUCUCCUCUCCAAAGAGUCGAGUUGUUUGGGAAUGCAGCUCAAAGUGGGUGGUAAAUUCCAUCUAAAGCUAAAUACCGGCGAGAGACCGAUAGCGAACAAGUACAGUGAUGGAAAGAUGAAAAGCACUUUGAAAAGAGAGUGAAACAGUACGUGAAAUUGUUGAAAGGGAAGGGCUUGCAAGCAGACACGGCCUUCGUGCCGGGCCAGCAUCGGUUGCUAGGGGUGGAUAAGGAACAAGGAAUGUAGCUCCUCGGAGUAUUAUAGCCUUGCGCGAUACACCCACUGGCGACCGAGGCCUGCGGUAUUCCUACCUAGGAUGCUGGCGUAAUGGUUGCAAGCCGCCCGUCUUG